UACGUAGGGUGCGAGCGUUAAUCGGAAUUACUGGGCGUAAAGGGUGCGCAGGCGGCCCCGCAAGUCAGACGUGAAAUCCCCGAGCUCAACUUGGGAAUGGCGUUUGAAACUACAGGGCUGGAGUGUGGCAGAGGGAGGUGGAAUUCCACGUGUAGCGGUGAAAUGCGUAGAGAUGUGGAGGAACACCAAUGGCGAAGGCAGCCUCCUGGGCCAACACUGACGCUCAUGCACGAAAGCGUGGGGAGCAAACAGG
Molecule: ribosomal RNA, 253 nt
Filed under: uncultured bacterium
Lineage: Bacteria
Description: partial 16S ribosomal RNA
Rfam family: Bacterial small subunit ribosomal RNA
Source: RNAcentral